CUUCCUUGGACAAGCACCACAGCAAGAUGAUUGAUAUCAUCAGAAACAAGGGAGGAGCUGUCAGAGAGAAGACCCGGAACAUACUGAGAGUUUUGGAUCAGAGUCUUGAGGUAAAUGUAAAGAGAGAGUGCUGAAGUCCCUUAUUGUGUACCUUGGGGAGGAUGUGGACAAACUUAUCAAGGAGUAUCUGGUUGCUCAGAAGGACCAAGCUGAAACGGAGCUCGAGAGGUGUACAAUGGCAGUGUUUGUUAUAAGGGAGGAGGAGGAUCCUCUCCAGCCACCACAGGACGUUGGGGUUGUAAUAGAAGGUGUGGACGUCCUUAACAAGCUGCCAUCAGUUACACAUGCAUGUGCCAUGUUAUUUGGCCUCAUCUACGCUCUAAACUUGAGCUAUCCAGGUGAGCUCAAAUACACUUUUGAUGCGCUGCAGAAAAUCUUCAUGGAGAUUGAACCAAAGACAAUGAGACGCAGAGUGUGCAGUCUGAGUGUCAAGCUCUAAAGAAUGGCUUAUUCGAAGAAACAGACAUUUGGAUACAGCAUGUUUUUGUUCUGUGUUCUAGCUUGUAUUCACAAACCUUGCAGGAGAAUGAAAGGGGUCAUUGUUAAA
Sander lucioperca (pikeperch) is the source of this 607-nucleotide long non-coding RNA. RefSeq lists it as uncharacterized. The transcript is spliced from 3 exons. NCBI's taxonomy places the organism in Eukaryota, Metazoa, Chordata, Actinopteri, Perciformes, Percidae. The record is from RefSeq and is a predicted model, not a curated record.